AUUCGUCAGGCAAGUCUGUGCAAGC
This 25-nucleotide non-coding RNA is filed under the name Rattus norvegicus (Norway rat). The record is from RNAcentral. Lineage: Eukaryota; Metazoa; Chordata; Mammalia; Rodentia; Muridae.